GACGAACGCUGGCGGCGUGCCUAAUACAUGCAAGUAGAACGCUGAAGAGAGGAGCUUGCUCUUCUUGGAUGAGUUGCGAACGGGUGAGUAACGCGUAGGUAACCUGCCUUGUAGCGGGGGAUAACUAUUGGAAACGAUAGCUAAUACCGCAUAACAAUGGAUGACACAUGUCAUUUAUUUGAAAGGGGCAAUUGCUCCACUACAAGAUGGACCUGGGUUGUAUUAGCUAGUAGGUGAGGUAAUGGCUCACCUAGGCGACGAUACAUAGCCGACCUGAGAGGGGGAUCGGCCACCCUGGGACUGAGACACGGCCCCGACUCCCACGGGAGGCAGCAGGAGGGAAUCUUCGGCAAAGGGGGCAACCCUGACCGAGCAACGCCGCGUGAGUGAAGAAGGGUUUCGGAUCGUAAAGCUCUGUUGUAAGUCAAGAACGGGUGUGAGAGUGGAAAGUUCACACUGUGACGGUAGCUUACCAGAAAGGGACGGCUAACUACGUG
Molecule: ribosomal RNA, 497 nt
Filed under: uncultured bacterium
Lineage: Bacteria
Description: partial 16S ribosomal RNA
Rfam family: Bacterial small subunit ribosomal RNA
Source: RNAcentral